UAAUUACAGGUGACAUUUCC
Molecule: non-coding RNA, 20 nt
Filed under: Rattus norvegicus (Norway rat)
Lineage: Eukaryota; Metazoa; Chordata; Mammalia; Rodentia; Muridae
Source: RNAcentral